AGGAGGAACAACCCCAGUGGCCGUGGCCUGCUCUGCAGCCCUAGAGUCAGCUCCCGCAGUAACUAGGGAGCUCUCGGUCUGCAGGGCCUGGAGGCCCCGGGGCGGG
RNAcentral lists this microRNA precursor (106 nucleotides) under Canis lupus familiaris (dog). RNAcentral describes it as "mir-8834 microRNA precursor family". It matches the Rfam family "mir-8834 microRNA precursor family". Lineage: Eukaryota; Metazoa; Chordata; Mammalia; Carnivora; Canidae. The record is from Rfam by way of RNAcentral.